ACCGUUUUUGGAUGCAUGCAUCAUCUAACAGAAAAAAAAGCUCAAAGGCUCGUUUGGUUUGCGAGAAAUAUUUUUUCUCCAAGGAAUAUAAUUUCUGAAAAGCAGAUCACUAGAAAUAGGAUGCUUGAAAAAAUAUUUUGACAUGUUUGGUUGACAAUGGGAAAGUGACAGAUUUGCAGAAUGCUUAUGUUUGGUUAACCAUCUACUUUCUUGUAAAAGUUAUAUGUAAUUUCUAUUAUACCCUUAAUAAAAAUUAGGUCUUUAGUAUCUUUUUAAUGCUGAAGGACCUUUUUGAAAAAAAAAUGGAGUGAUUUUCAGCUCUUAGAAAAGUAAGUUUUCCAUGUUUCCUAUGAAAAAUAUUUUUUUAAUGAAAUGUGCGAAUCAUAUUUUCAUGAAAAUAUAACUUUUUCUUUUAAAAAAAAAUUCCAAUUAAAUAAGAGACAUUUCAUUAUUUUUUUUAUUUUUUUAUUGACUAUAUUUUAUUUUUUUUUCUGGAAUCAAACGGCCCCAAAGUUACCUUGCGUUUCAUGGUAAGACGCACUUGAACCUCGUGGGACAGUGAGAUGCCAUGCAGCCGGAUCCUGACAAGUCUAGUCCUACUUAAAUUAGCUUGCACGCAUGCAUCUCUUAAAGCUCCCAAAGGCAACCGUGUCACGACACACGAGGCCCGCCAGCUAGCCCACAUGCUCCACCUUGUGAGAAAUGGGCACCGGCACCAAUAGUCUAUCUAUUUUUCCUUGGGGAUUUCUCUUGGAAAAUGCAAACGAUAGGGAUGACACGAGAUACACGUGAGAUCCGGCGGGCAAUUUUAGGUUGAUGAUCCUAUGCUUCUUCUUCCCCCUUCAAUUGAGUAGAUAAGCCGCAUUAACAGCGGCUGCAAUGAUUUCCGUGUCGCCAUUCGAAUAGCCACCACCCAUUGGGUCUCACUCAUCCACCACCGAGAUUGCAGGCGGGUGCAAUGGCCACGAGCCUAUUUCCAUCCCCAAAUCUCUAUUAA
Molecule: long non-coding RNA, 997 nt
Filed under: Phoenix dactylifera (date palm)
Lineage: Eukaryota; Viridiplantae; Streptophyta; Magnoliopsida; Arecales; Arecaceae
Description: long non-coding RNA (PDAC_LNC015297)
Source: RNAcentral